This is a non-coding RNA of Marchantia paleacea, 75 nucleotides long. The record is from the annotation of a GenBank genome assembly. NCBI's taxonomy places the organism in Eukaryota, Viridiplantae, Streptophyta, Marchantiopsida, Marchantiales, Marchantiaceae.
GCGGCCCCGUAGUCUAGUGGUUAGGACAUUGGACACUGAAUCCGGUAGCCCAAGUUCAAAACUCUUCGGGGCCUA